ACCCUGACCAUCAGCCCAGGGGUGGUUUUGCAGUGAACUAGGCCCUUCCACAUCUACCAUCAAUCAAGAAAGUGCUUUACAGGCUUGCCAACAGAUCCUUCUUACUUCUGUUCAUACUGGAGGGAUGCUGGAUGCUGCCUGUGAGUCUCUAAAACUGAACCAAAUGUUCAAUAACAACAAACAGUUAAGAAGGCAUGUUCGUUCCAAACUCAUUCAUUUAAAAGUGACAAAAUAAUGCAAAAUAAAUAAAUGAAUAUAU
Molecule: long non-coding RNA, 259 nt
Organism: Mastomys coucha (southern multimammate mouse)
Lineage: Eukaryota; Metazoa; Chordata; Mammalia; Rodentia; Muridae
Exons: 2
Source: RefSeq, a predicted model, not a curated record